CAUAGUUGCUAGGAUUAGACCCGAAACCGAGUGAUCUAGCCAUGGGCAGGUUGAAGGUGAGGUAACACUUACUGGAGGACCGAACCGACUAAUGUUGAAAAAUUAGCGGAUGACUUGUGGCUAGGGGUGAAAGGCCAAUCAAACUCGGAGAUAGCUGGUUCUCCCCGAAAGCUAUUUAGGUAGCGCCUCGGACGAAUACUACUGGGGGUAGAGCACUGUUAAGGCUAGGGGGUCAUCCCGACUUACCAACCCUUUGCAAACUCCGAAUACCAGUAAGUAAUAUCCGGGAGACACACGGCGGGUGCUAACGUCCGUCGUGAAGAGGGAAACAACCCAGACCGCCAGCUAAGGUCCCAAAGUUAUAGCUAAGUGGGAAACGAUGUGGGAAGGCUCAGACAGCCAGGAUGUUGGCUUAGAAGCAGCCAUCAUUUAAAGAAAGCGUAAUAGCUCACUGGUCGAGUCGGCCUGCGCGGAAGAUUUAACGGGGCUAAGCUAUACACCGAAGCUGCGGCAAU
This 515-nucleotide ribosomal RNA is filed under the name Photobacterium phosphoreum. RNAcentral describes it as "bacterial LSU rRNA". It matches the Rfam family "Bacterial large subunit ribosomal RNA", at positions 695 to 1209 of the family's 2925-position model. The record is from RNAcentral. Lineage: Bacteria; Pseudomonadati; Pseudomonadota; Gammaproteobacteria; Vibrionales; Vibrionaceae.